GCGCAAUACGGGGGCGCGGCAGCGGUAAUAAGGAGUGCGGGAGCGGUGUGCGGAUGUAGUGGGCGUAAAGAGCAUGUAGGCUGCCAGGUAGGUCUGCUGUGAAAACUCGAGGCUUAACCUGGAGAUGUCGGCGGAAACCAUCUGGCUAGAGGCCGGAAGAGGAGAGUGGAAUUCCUGGUGUAGCGGUGAAAUGCGCAGAUAUCAGGAAGAACACCCGUGGCGAAGGCGGCUCUCUGGGACGGUACUGACGCUGAGACGCGAAAGCGUGGGGAGCGAACAGGAUUAGAUACCCUGGUAGUC
Molecule: ribosomal RNA, 300 nt
Filed under: uncultured Bacillus sp.
Lineage: Bacteria; Bacillati; Bacillota; Bacilli; Caryophanales; Bacillaceae
Description: bacterial SSU rRNA
Rfam family: Bacterial small subunit ribosomal RNA
Source: RNAcentral